UGCCGGUCUUAAGCCGGAGGAAGGUGGGAUGAUGUCAAGUCAGCAUGGCCUUUAUAUCCUGGGCUACACACACGCUACAAUGGCCAACACAAUAGGUUGCUAAGCCGCGAGGUGGCGCCAAUCCAUAAAGUUGGUCUCAGUUCAGAUUGUAGGCUGCAACCCGCCUGCAUGAAGAUGGAGUUGCUAGUAACCGCAGGUCAGCUAUACUGCGGUGAAUACCGGUUCCCGGGUCUU
Molecule: ribosomal RNA, 234 nt
Filed under: uncultured Leptolinea sp.
Lineage: Bacteria; Bacillati; Chloroflexota; Anaerolineae; Anaerolineales; Anaerolineaceae
Description: partial 16S ribosomal RNA
Rfam family: Bacterial small subunit ribosomal RNA
Source: RNAcentral